GACGAACGCUGGCGGCGUGCUUAACACAUGCCAGUCGAACGGAAAGGCCCUGCUUUUGUGGGGUGCUCGAGUGGCGAACGGGUGAGUAACACGUGAGUAACCUGCCCUUGACUUUGGGAUAACUUCAGGAACUGGGGCUAAUACCGGAUAGGAGCUCCUGCUGCAUGGUGGGGGUUGGAAAGUUUCGGCGGUUGGGGAUGGACUCGCGGCUUAUCAGCUUGUUGGUGGGGUAGUGGCUUACCAAGGCUUUGACGGGUAGCCGGCCUGAGAGGGUGACCGGCCACAUUGGGACUGAGAUACGGCCCAGACUCCUACGGGAGGCAGCAGUGGGGAAUAUUGCACAAUGGGCGGAAGCCUGAUGCAGCAACGCCGCGUGCGGGAUGACGGCCUUCGGGUUGUAAACCGCUUUCGCCUGUGACGAAGCGUGAGUGACGGUAAUGGGUAAAGAAGCACCGGCUAACUACGUG
This 467-nucleotide ribosomal RNA is filed under the name uncultured bacterium. Its description in RNAcentral is "partial 16S ribosomal RNA". It matches the Rfam family "Bacterial small subunit ribosomal RNA", at positions 28 to 507 of the family's 1533-position model. The record is from RNAcentral.